AAUCCAUGGUGAGGGCAGUCACAUUUAUACUCCUUAAAACGCGCACAGGCUACAUAAAAAGGUUCAGUCAGUCCUUGCUGAAAACUUGAGAUCUUGGUUCU
Molecule: small nucleolar RNA, 101 nt
Filed under: Eutrema salsugineum
Lineage: Eukaryota; Viridiplantae; Streptophyta; Magnoliopsida; Brassicales; Brassicaceae
Description: Plant small nucleolar RNA R71
Rfam family: Plant small nucleolar RNA R71
About the family: R71 is a member of the C/D box family of snoRNAs containing the C (UGAUGA) and D (CUGA) box motifs.
Source: Rfam by way of RNAcentral